Molecule: non-coding RNA, 1134 nt
Organism: Pelobates cultripes (western spadefoot toad)
Lineage: Eukaryota; Metazoa; Chordata; Amphibia; Anura; Pelobatidae
Source: the annotation of a GenBank genome assembly
UGAAAAAUAUUUUUAUAAACUUUAAAUGUAUUCAACGUGUUGUAGGAAUGUAGAAAUAUUGUAAGUUAUUAAUUUAAGCAUAUCCAGACAUCGAGAGGCCUACCCAGAUAGAUUACUAUCAUAAUGUAAUUUAUACACAUACUGUAAUUUACACACAUAUGGUUUUAAGUCAAGAAUGAUGGAUGGAGACUUGUGGAUCCUGUUGAUAAUAACCUUUAACCUAGCCUUGUAAGCCUGAAUUCCUGUGAAAUGUUCACAUUUCUAUAGGCAAUCAUUCAUUCCAUCAUGUAAUUAGAAGUCUCAAGAAGGUCUUUGUGUGUAACUUACCAAAACAUCAUAACGUAUGGCUUUAAUCAUAGAUAUCGAAUAAUACUAAGUUACCACCUAUUUUUUCUUAGAUAACCAAUUAUUGUAAAGCAGGCAAACCUUAUGUCAUUAUGUAUACGCCCUAUGUAAUUGAAUUUUAAAUGUAUAAAAUCCAUUGCAACUCCAAUACCAAUAGUAACACCAACGACCAAUACCUUUUAACAUCAAGCUUGGAUAAGAUCUAGAAGUGAAUAUACAUUGUCUAUUGGUCCAUAUGAUUUUAAAACAGACUUUUGUUGUUACCGGAUGAUGUGUAUAUUGUAAUAAAUAUACGGUUUUAACUGCAAGACACUCUGAUUCGAUUUGUUCAGAAAACUGGAAAACAAAUAUCUCACGGAAUGCAAAUUUCCUACAUUUAAUGGUGGAGAAUGCGGGCAUCUUGGAUUUAAGUCAGAAGGCAACUUUGAGUUAAGUCUGAAUUAUUACUGACUUAAUAUUUAAGUGUUCUGCUACAAACUACAAGAAGACAAGAAGAUAAGAAAAUCGCUGAAGAAAAGUUGAAAGUGUUCUCUGAAGAAAAGCUGUAGUACCCGGCUUGAAACAGGAGAAAAACAAGAGACUGAUUAACACAGCAGGAGUGCAUCCCAAAGAUUCUUUGUUUAAACAUCCCAGGUCUGAUGCGAAGACGGAGGUGAAGCAGGGUGAGAAAGUCGUUCGAACGCGGCAGAUGUUUAUGUUCAGUACUGAAGCAAGAAUUUGAAGAUAAAUAAUUGAGAUGGACAAUCCGGGUCCUUUUUAUCCACACUUUAUCAAGUAAUUUGUGACGAC